Ailuropoda melanoleuca (giant panda) is the source of this 7071-nucleotide long non-coding RNA. RefSeq lists it as uncharacterized. The record is from RefSeq and is a predicted model, not a curated record. Lineage: Eukaryota; Metazoa; Chordata; Mammalia; Carnivora; Ursidae. The transcript has 5 exons.
CAGACUCCACGCUGAGAUCAGAGCCUGACGCUGGGCUCGAUCCUACGACCCUGAGAUCAUGACCUGAGCUGAAACCAAGAGUCGGAUGCUCAACCGACGGUGCCACCCAGGAGCCCCUCUAUCCUGUAACAUUUAAAGACUCAUAAAUGAAUUUGGAAAGGAGAUAACAUAAAGGAGCCCUAUGGCCAUGUCAGAUCAUAGCAUCAUGGGCUGGGUACAGGCAUGGCCUUCCUGAUGUGGCCGGGACAUGUCCGCAGGGCCAGUGUUGCUGUGAAUCAGAACCAAUGGUUUUCUACUUCUCUCCAUCCUGAGAAAGAGUCUACCUGUGCUGAAUCAAAUGCGAGAGGCAGGUUGCUAUGAUUGAUAGUUGCGCUGCAUUUAUCAGGAAAGGCUUGACUGUGCUAUAGUAACAACCCGCCCACCACGUCCACCCUCAAGUCACAGUGGCUUAAACAAUAAAGUUUUAUUGCUUUUUUUCUUAUUUCUUUAAAGAUUUUAUUUUUAAGCAAUCUCUACACCCAACCUGGGGCUUGAACUCACACCCCGAGAUCAAGAGUUGCAUGCUCCCCUGACUGAGCCAGCCAGGGAUACCUAAAGGUUUAUUUCUUAUUCAUGUCACAGUCUGGGUGGAAAUUAGGCAGCUCUGCUGUUGAUUUCCAUCUAAGGAGUAAGUCCCUCCAUGGUGUGACCCUGUCAUCUUCAACACAGAGCUUUGUGGUUGCCAUAUUAGGGAAAAGAGAGUGUGGGUGGUCACCUGGGGGCUUGAGGCUAUACCUGGAGGUGGCAUUUAUCACUUCUCUAUUCCUUUCUUUGACAGAAAACAGUCAGAUGGUUUCAAAGUAAAGGAGGCUGGAAAUGUAGUCAGUGUUUUUUGGUACCAAGGAAGAGGACACGGAUGGGAGGAAUAUCCAGUCAUUUUUCCAGUGUAUGCAACGGAGGAGGAGGAGUUCUUCCUCAAAGCGAAAGCAUGGCUCUGCCUACCCAAAGCAUGGGAAUGUGGGACAGGCAGAAAUAAGGUUGAUUUUCAAGAACUGGCCAUUGGCUAAGGGAAUCAGGAAAAAGCAGGUAUAUUUUCUCCAGUCUCAUAAAGGAGCUAUUCCUGGAUCACAUUUGAGGUCAUUAAGUCUUCUUUGUUCACUGUUAGAUGAUUUCUUUUUUUUGGCCCAAUGCUAAGGCUUAUUUAUAAACAAACCUGAUAUUUAAUACACUCAGUUGAACUAACACAGAGCUGUGCUCAGAAUGGGCACUCCUUGAAGGGAGAAUCUAUGACAGGUUAUAAAAGAAAAUAUAAGUUAUAAAUUUUUACAAUCUGUUUUAGCCCCAGGCCCACCUUGCUUACUACUCUCUUUUCUUACACAGUAUGUGGGUGAUGGUAGAAAAGGAAAACUGGAAGAAGCCAGAGAGCUGACACUGAAUAGGGAGAAGAGAGAAAGCAGAGAGACUGCCAAGGUUGGAUUUAUGAGCAAGUCUUACAGAGCCUGGAGUGACGAGAACGGAGACGGGCUGGGGAGAAGAGCUUUGAGUUUUGCUGUGCACUACAGCGGUCUUUUUCUCUUGGCGGUUUUAGCAAACGCUGCAGCAGAGAUGUAAAUUGCCUUUCGAUGACUAUUGAUUUGAAAGUGAUAAGGAGAUGAGGGCUGUGAAGAUUUUCUGUUUCUUCAUGAGUCCAGCCAGUUUUUGUAAAUGGAGUUUUACUGUAACACAACCAUACUCAUUCACUGACAGACGAUUUAUGGCUGCUUUGAUACAACAAUGGCAAAGUUGCAUACUUGGGAUAGAGACUGUAUAGCACAUAAAGCCUAAGGUAUUUAUACGCUGCCCCCUUACAAAAGAAGUUUACUGACCCCUCUUGUAGAACAUCAGCCUUUUCAGGAAUGCAUCUGUUGCACAAUAGUAACUAUGCUUAUAUUUAAUGAGCAUCUGUUAGGUUGCACCAUAGUAAACUGCCAUUUGUGUGGGUAAGAAAAGGUCAGAUAUUGGUACUUACAUAUAUGGGCCAUGUAACAUAAGUUUCCAAGCAUAUGAAAAUUAACGGAGUACAGGCUAUGCCCUUAAGGAGCUACUGGGACACGCACACGCACACUCACACUGCUGAUGUCAGCGAAUGUAGUAAUUGCUAUUACAGAGGUACGGACUCAGUAUUUCAGGAGCACAGAGUAGUGUGUGGACAGUUCUUACCAGUAAAGGUGAGGGAAAGGACUAGAAGCUUGAGAGGCCUCCAGAGAAGUGGCUGUGUUCCUGGCUGCUCUGCAUUUGAGCUGUGCUUCAUAGCACAUGUAGGGUUUUAUCAGGUCAAAAGAAGCAUUCUCCAGUUUUCCUCGGGUCGGGGUGAGGUUGACAUUAAGGCAUAAGGAACAUGCUACAUUUCUUUUCUUCAAAUAGAAUUGCAAUUCAGUCCUGGAAAACAGUUGCAUAGAAUUAGAGGAUAUUAAUAAUCAAGUGAGCAUGGCUCCCUAAUUUUUAGAUGAAGGUUGAAGGCAAAGUGAUUUGUUCAAGGUCACCCGGCUGUUGACCAAUUAUUUUAUUGGCAGGACUAGAGCCUGUGUCUUCUAACCCCCAACUCAAGGCGAUUUCCAUUAGGCCACUUGGGUGUACAAGACAACAAGAGUCAGAGAAAUCACCUACUAGGGACACUGGUGGCAGACAGGCCUGGGUUUGAGUUCUGGCUCUGUCACUUACUGACUCUGUUAUUCGUCACAGUGUUCAGGAGCCAGAAUUGCUUCCUACAUGGACCUCUCAGAGUAGAGGUUCAGAGCUCAGAGCCUGAAACCAGACUCUGAGUUUCAUCCCAGCACCACUAACUAGCUGUGUGACCCUGGACACAUUACUUAACCUCUCUGGGCCAGUAAUAUGGAGAUAAUAGUAAUACUUACCUCACUGAACUAUAGGACUGAGUGAGUUUAGACCCAAAUGCAUACAUAAGGCACACGGAAAGAUGUCUGGGACAUGUAAAGUACUGUAUGCUAACAUUGUUAGAAGAAAAACAGUGGAUGGGGGCACCUGGGUAGCUCACUCGGUUAAGCGUCUCCCUCCGGUUCAGGUCACGAUCCCAGGGUCUUGGGAUCAAGGCCUGCAUCGGCCUCCUUGCUCAGCAGGGAGCCUUCUUCUCCCUGUGCUACUGCUCCCCCUGCUUGUGUGCACGCUCUCUCUCUCUCUCUCUGACAAAUAAAAUAAAAUAAGUUAAAAUAAAAUAAAGAAAAAAACAGUGGAUCGUAGGACUGUUCUAAGAACCAGCAAGAGUAAUUUAGCUGAAGCCUUUUUCCAAACUUGUAAAACAAAGCAAGUAGAAUAUAUUAUUAUUCUCUAUGUGAAUUAAGACUGGCAACCUGGAGAAUGAAGUUGAUGACUGUCAUUUCUUGCAGCCUCACUGUUUGCCAGGACUUGACUUCUAUUGUUUAAGCAUCACAAGACCCAGAGAUGGUUCUUAUUUUUGGCUGACAGUAGUGACUGAGGAGCAGAGCGUAAGAGGGAAGUACACAGACUCUGGGUCCAGGCUGCUGGGUCUGAAUCCUUGCUCAGCCUCUUACUGGCCGUGAACACAGAUGGAUGAGUGAUCGGGGAAGGUCUGAGCCAUGAAGUGAUGUUAGACUAAUCCACUUCACAUCCAGCCAGGGUCGCUGAGGCCACUUGGAUGUUGCAGUGAAAGGUUUUCAGAUAAGAACCAACACUCGUAUUCCUCCCUUAAGUGAUCCUCAGUGGCUUGUUGACUGAAAGGUCAAGGAGUUGCAGGCGUCCAGUCACACCACCUGGAGUAACAACAAAUUUGGACAUGCACAGGACGUGAUACCAGUGUCUUGAGUGCCAUUGACCAAAAGCUCUGGGAAGAUACCAUCAUUAAUGAGAUGCCUCAUAAUAUCAGAGACGUUAAGAUGUACCUCUUAGAACAGAUGAAAGAAGAGGUGUUCCAAGAAGAGAGCCGGUCCGUUGUAUGUCUUUACCUGGGAGGCGAGCCCCUUUCCUGGACUUUUUUGGGAGUUUCUUGGGAAGAGAAUACUAGAUGGGCCCUAAACAAAGUGAGGAUGGAGGGGGGCUAGUUCAUGCUGGGGGUGGGGCAGAAGUGAGAAGGGCAGAGAGAAGAGGGACAUCCCAAGUCUAGGAAGGUGGGCAGGUUCUGUGAGACGUUGUGAUGUGAGACAGGCUCCCUCACAGUCUUUGGGGGAUCAAGAUCUCAGUGUGGACAGUCAAGGUGCACCCCCAGAGGUAUUCUUAGACACUGGCCUUCCAGCAUCCUCUGGGGCUUCCAUGGCCAAGAAGGACCCAUCACAGUAGAGCUCCCUGAUUUCAGAAAGCAAAAUGGCUCCCAGAAUAUUCUGCUCUUUCAAACUUUGAAGCCCUUUCCUAGUCCUGGAAAGUGAGAGGAAACUCUGAUAAUGGCCAGAAUCGAGUAUUCCCACCUGGCCGAUGGAGCGAGGCUGGGAUUCACAUUUGAUUUAGAGAAGAUAAAUGUGACGGUUUUUGUCGACUUUAUUUAUGGAAUAAGAACUAAAUUCAUAGAUGUUACUUGUCUGUUACAUAUGUUAAAUAAGGUUUUUUUUAAAUUGAAAAUCUGCUCUGGAUGGAAAUAACCCUUGAGCCCAGCCUCAGUUCCCCCAGAACAUCUGUGUGUGGUUUCAUUGGGCUUCCUAUGGUAUUUCUCAGUGGGUCGCUAGAGGCAUCUGGUGCUGGAGAAAUUGUGACCAUUGCAGAUGGUGUGUGCGGUUGGCUCCCCCUGAUGUCAGUGGUGCCCCCUUGGUCACUAUGACAGCCCCAAGUACUGCCCACAUUUCUAAAUGGCCCCUGUCAGGGAAGCGCCGCCCCCCGCCUCCGGUGGAGAACCACUAGGGUGAUGGGCUACACCCAAGGCUUUGCUGAGAGACCUGAGCAACUCAUUUGAACUCUCUAGGCUUACAUUUCACUCAUCAUUGCCAUUGUGAUAAUUCAAAGAUAAAUUCUUAAUAGGGAUAGCAAGAAAGUAUUCGAGACAAAGGAACCACAAAACAAGUAACUGUGAAGCCUCUACUCUCUGCGAGAAAGCGUGGGAGAAAUCAAACAUGCAUCAUUAACAGUGCCGCAACGGCUUUCUUAGAAUUGCUACAAGUGCAAGGAAUUUUAAACAAGUGCUACUUAUCUGGGCUUCCAGAAUUUCGGGACGCGUUUCUUCCAGAAAGACAUUUUUUUCUUAUGUCAUUUCUGUAUCAGGGAAUUGGUUGAGUAGAAAGAACACCAAACUGAGAAGAAUGUGGGUUUCCUGGGAAGACUGGGAGAAUCUUUUGCCCCUCCAAACCCUCCCACCCCCAGUUUCUUCUCAGGCCUCGGCUCUGUUCUUUCUGUCUCUGUUUCCCCAUGUGGGGGUCUGACCAUCUCUGUGUCCAUCUCUCUUUCGGGGCACCUGCACUGUGUGUCUCCCUUUGCCCACCUUGCUGCCGACCCUCUGCCCCCCACCACCUGCUGCUUCUCUCUGUCCCCGUCUCUGCCCAUCUGCUCUGCCCCAUCUGCCCAGUUCACAUCCCACUCCCCUCCGUCUCCCCUCUGUCCUCUCAUCUCUGCCCACUUCCUGUCUCUUCCCUUCUCUGUCUCUGCUCCUCCUGCACCUCAUCUGCUCCAUGCACGUUCAGGCAUCUUUGCCACUUUCUCUGCCCUCCUCCUUCUCCUCGCUCCUCUGCCUAUCCUCUCUCCUUCCUCUCUCUCUCCCUCUCUCUCUCUCUCUCAUCCAUUAGGAAUAUUUUGUUGGUGGCUUUACUCAGUUUCAAGCAGUAAGCAUCUCUAGACCCCCUACACAUGCACAGCCAUUCUUCUACAGACCCAACCAGUCCCUUUUUGCAAGUGGCUCUUAGUGAAUCGGGUUUCAAAAACUUAAGGAAAAUUUUGUUUCGUAUGUAGCCUCAACCUGCACGUGGCUUUGAGUGUGGCCACCUGAAGGGGAAUGCUGGUGACCAGCUCGGUCUGGAUGGCUGAGCCACAAAGGGAGAGGGAGGCAGGAGGCUGGUGCCUCAGUGGGCAGAGUGGGCAGGGGGCAUGUGACUGUGGGAGGCAGGGUAGUGCCACCAAGGGGGCAGAACCUGCUCUCCGCCCCCUGGGAAGGUGGCCCUUAGCUGUUCAGUGGGUCAGGCUUGGCUCUGUCUUCACCUUCAAGGGGACAGUCCCAUCACCUCUCUGUCAUCUGCAGGCUCUUUUCAAGGACCGAUGUGUUGCAUAAUCCGUGUGUGGUCUGGACCCCGUGAUUCUACUUGGUGACUUCUCAGACAAACAGCAAGACUGAGGGAGGCUCGCGGCUCGAAUUCUUUUGCCAGCCCCUUGUUCUGCAUGCCAGGUUUCUAUACAUGUGGCUGGCAGGGAGUUCGCCUGGGGACAUUACAUGGUUUUGCACAUGGGAUUUGUUAGAAGUUGGAUGAGGGACUGUCUUAUUUCACUUGAUAAUCUCUUAUUGAUGGCUUUGUUCUUUGCUUAAUAUUAAUGAGACUUCCUAUCUCCAUCUUGCUGUGACAGCUUUAUCAACCCUUUUGUGGCUGCAUUUCCAUCCGGGUAAUAGAACUGCCAUCACAUUGCGUUGGCAUAAAUAACAGGAAAAUCCAUGGGUUGGGGAUGUCUGCAAGCCCAGGAGGCUGAGUCUUACAGAAGCUUCCUCCUCUGGUGGGUAAUGUGGAUAUUUGCUGGAUACUCUGAGAUCCGGAGCCACCAUGUCCAAUUCUGACAUGGUGGGAAUUUAUAAAGUCCUUUUAUUCUCUCUGCGUUCAGAUUCUCUAUGCAGUAGAUCCUUCCUUUGGAUCUUGUAGGUGCUGUAGGAGAGAUGCAAGUUUUGGAGUCAGACUCACCUGAUUUGUGUCCUGCCUCUAUGAAUUAAUAAGUAUGAAGUUGCUGAUUAGUAAAAGAAAAAAAGUUUGAAAAUGGCUGUGCUACUCAUAAAGUACUUGUAAACGUUUUACAUGUAGCAUUCCACUAUUUUCACAAUCACUAUAACAGAUGUAUUUUCUUUAUGAAGCAACUGAGUCAUGUACACACACACUCAGGUGUUCACUUUCACUCAAGAACACAUACUUUUUUGUUUUUUAAGAUUUUAUUCAUUUAUUGACAGAGAGAGACAGGGAGAGAGGG